Molecule: small nucleolar RNA, 89 nt
Organism: Asterias rubens (European starfish)
Lineage: Eukaryota; Metazoa; Echinodermata; Asteroidea; Forcipulatida; Asteriidae
Source: RefSeq, a predicted model, not a curated record
CUUGUCUGUGAUGAUAAAAUGACCACACUUAUCGAGGCAUUUAUAAUGCAAUGAGAUUAUCAAUCACAUGCACUACCAUCUGAGACGAC